CCCAGUUGGUGUUUAGUCUUCGCUUAGUUGAUGAAACUACAUGGUGCAAAUUGGAUUACAUGUUAACAUUGUGUUCGCUUAGUUCACUUUUAUGAAAACAUAAUUAGCCUUCGCUUAGUUGGUUAACUGUGUUGGAUUAGAGGUUAGAGUAGCUCCUUUAUUAUGUUAAUAUGUGAUUGGAAGCAUAGUGAUUGAGUUAAUGACCGAC
This 208-nucleotide long non-coding RNA is filed under the name Vigna radiata. RNAcentral's name for it is "long non-coding RNA (VRAD_LNC011822)". The record is from RNAcentral. Lineage: Eukaryota; Viridiplantae; Streptophyta; Magnoliopsida; Fabales; Fabaceae.